This 280-nucleotide unclassified non-coding RNA is filed under the name Hevea brasiliensis (rubber tree). Lineage: Eukaryota; Viridiplantae; Streptophyta; Magnoliopsida; Malpighiales; Euphorbiaceae. The record is from RNAcentral.
CCCCCCAUCAAAUUCAAAUUCCCAAAUUUAUAAAACUACCAACAAAUUUCCAAUUUCUUGCCUAAAAAGACGAAAAACUAAACCAUAAGCAAACUUUAAUCCACUGAAUUCCCCCUUCAAUAAUCCCACAAAUUUGAAAAAUCCACUGAAAUUCUCCAACUUUCAGAUCCAAAACCUCAGCAAAAAAACCCCAAAACACGUGAAUAUUCAAAAACAUGCAAGCCAAAUCAGCUAAAAAUUGCACACCGAAGUUAAGCCGAGAGUCGCUACCCAAAAAAAA